Molecule: long non-coding RNA, 1310 nt
Organism: Quercus lobata
Lineage: Eukaryota; Viridiplantae; Streptophyta; Magnoliopsida; Fagales; Fagaceae
Exons: 2
Source: RefSeq, a predicted model, not a curated record
CCCUCUCUUAUCUCUCCCUCUCUCUCUCUCUCUCUCUCUCUCUCUCAUCCCCCCUUAAAGAUAGGCGACACUCUUGGGGGAUAAAACUACAGAGAAACACAAAAGAGACGCGUUUACACACGCUCUCUCUCUCUCUUUCUCAGAUGAUGAUGAUGAUGAAGAUAGAUGGGGAAGCCUUUUCUUUUGAGGGGAAUGUUGUCUGGCUCGAGGACACUUUUAUUUGAUCCUAAGAAAAAAAAAAUCAAAUCCCAUCAUCAUGUUUUAGUGUCGUCGGACCAGGCUUCAUUCCCCCCAAUUUUUAUGCUUCCAUUUACCUACCAAGCCUUUAAUUAAUCAUGGGCUACUUUCAAAGAAAGGAACACUCAGAUUUUGAGAACAGAAGCAUUCCAAAUGAUAAGCUGACUCCCUUCUUCACUGGAUUCUGGAAGUAAAAGGGUAAGUAUGAAAAGCCAUUCAAUUGGGUUUGGCUUGAAAUGAACCUGGAGCAUUGUGCAGGUUAAUAGACACAUGCCAGUUGAAGAAUAGUGUAAACUUUUUCCCCUAUAUUUGAGCUUGUGUCGUACAAUAAUGCGAACAUCAAUUAUCACAUUCAGUUGUGAAAUCAGUUCUGGAUUUAGUGUUUGUAAUUGUACCUUCUUUCUUAUUAGUUACUUUCCCUUUAAUCUUGCUUGUCUCACAGGAGCACAGAUGGGGAAGAGAAGCUCUCAGAUAAAUACAAAGACAAAAUAGUUGAUUAGAAAAGAAUGGCGAAUGAGGUAGGUCCUAGGUCUCUAGGGCCAUAGGGAACACGUAUGACCACUUCUCUUUCUCACACGCACUUAUCUUCUACCUUUGACAUAACCUACACAUCUCUUUCUGUCUCUCAAAACUACUGUGCUAGGCUGCUAGCUGCGGCCUUCAAUGACUUUAUUAUUAUUUUCAAUCUUGUGCAUUUUGAUUUUCUAAACAAUACGGUUCAUAUAUCAAAAUUUAACUGAAGUGAAUGUGUAAAUUUUUCAUUAAUUUUGAUGCUAUUUUUAAUAUGUACAUUGUCAUGACUCUUAAGUGAAUAAAUCAAUAUCUCAAGUAUUUAUUACUUGAUAUGGGAUGGGUAAUGGUAAAUCCUUUAUUGUCACGUUUCAUGGUCCUUGAAAAGGGAUUGUAUGAAACUUUGAAUGCUGUCUCUUAAAGAACUUCCUUUUGGGAAAUUGCAUCUUUUUGACAUUUGCAAACAUAAAGUCGAAAGCCAUUGCUGCUUACUUUUUUACUCAAUAGUCAUAAUCUUUUUGAGAGUCGCUUUACAAUGAUUUCCAAGGAGAGAGAAAGAGAGA